Molecule: ribosomal RNA, 1404 nt
Filed under: Microbacterium proteolyticum
Lineage: Bacteria; Bacillati; Actinomycetota; Actinomycetes; Micrococcales; Microbacteriaceae
Description: bacterial SSU rRNA
Rfam family: Bacterial small subunit ribosomal RNA
Source: RNAcentral
UACCAUGCAGUCGAACGGUGAAGCCAAGCUUGCUUGGUGGAUCAGUGGCGAACGGGUGAGUAACACGUGAGCAACCUGCCCUGGACUCUGGGAUAAGCGCUGGAAACGGCGUCUAAUACUGGAUAUGAGCCCUCAUCGCAUGGUGGGGGUUGGAAAGAUUUUUUGGUCUGGGAUGGGCUCGCGGCCUAUCAGCUUGUUGGUGAGGUAAUGGCUCACCAAGGCGUCGACGGGUAGCCGGCCUGAGAGGGUGACCGGCCACACUGGGACUGAGACACGGCCCAGACUCCUACGGGAGGCAGCAGUGGGGAAUAUUGCACAAUGGGCGGAAGCCUGAUGCAGCAACGCCGCGUGAGGGAUGACGGCCUUCGGGUUGUAAACCUCUUUUAGCAGGGAAGAAGCGAGAGUGACGGUACCUGCAGAAAAAGCGCCGGCUAACUACGUGCCAGCAGCCGCGGUAAUACGUAGGGCGCAAGCGUUAUCCGGAAUUAUUGGGCGUAAAGAGCUCGUAGGCGGUUUGUCGCGUCUGCUGUGAAAUCCCGAGGCUCAACCUCGGGCCUGCAGUGGGUACGGGCAGACUAGAGUGCGGUAGGGGAGAUUGGAAUUCCUGGUGUAGCGGUGGAAUGCGCAGAUAUCAGGAGGAACACCGAUGGCGAAGGCAGAUCUCUGGGCCGUAACUGACGCUGAGGAGCGAAAGGGUGGGGAGCAAACAGGCUUAGAUACCCUGGUAGUCCACCCCGUAAACGUUGGGAACUAGUUGUGGGGACCAUUCCACGGUUUCCGUGACGCAGCUAACGCAUUAAGUUCCCCGCCUGGGGAGUACGGCCGCAAGGCUAAAACUCAAAGGAAUUGACGGGGACCCGCACAAGCGGCGGAGCAUGCGGAUUAAUUCGAUGCAACGCGAAGAACCUUACCAAGGCUUGACAUACACCAGAACACCGUAGAAAUACGGGACUCUUUGGACACUGGUGAACAGGUGGUGCAUGGUUGUCGUCAGCUCGUGUCGUGAGAUGUUGGGUUAAGUCCCGCAACGAGCGCAACCCUCGUUCUAUGUUGCCAGCACGUAAUGGUGGGAACUCAUGGGAUACUGCCGGGGUCAACUCGGAGGAAGGUGGGGAUGACGUCAAAUCAUCAUGCCCCUUAUGUCUUGGGCUUCACGCAUGCUACAAUGGCCGGUACAAAGGGCUGCAAUACCGUGAGGUGGAGCGAAUCCCAAAAAGCCGGUCCCAGUUCGGAUUGAGGUCUGCAACUCGACCUCAUGAAGUCGGAGUCGCUAGUAAUCGCAGAUCAGCAACGCUGCGGUGAAUACGUUCCCGGGUCUUGUACACACCGCCCGUCAAGUCAUGAAAGUCGGUAACACCUGAAGCCGGUGGCCUAACCCUUGUGGAGGGAGCCGUCGAAUGGGAU